AUGGCCAUGAUCGGCGGCACCGCGCGCGACUACAGCGGCACCAGCAUGUUCACCGGCUACGGCGUGCACCUCGACGGCUCCAUGGACAGCCAGAUGGAGGCUCUCCGCCGACUACUGCCUUGCAUCUGCGGGACACGGCAGAGUUGCAAGGAGUAUUUGGCCAAGUCCCUGUUUGUGUUUCAGCUGGGGGAGAACGGCUACAACAUCCAGCUGGUGAAUGGGUCCACGCUACACGAGGCAAGAAAGAGCAUACCCAGCAUAGUCAACACCAUCACAUCCGGCGUAGAGAAAUUAAUCACUCUCGGCGCAGUUGACAUCAUGGUGUCGAAUGUUGCUCCGAUGGGGUGCUACCCGCUAUACCUGAACUUCUUCGAGAGCUCCGACAAGGGUGACUACGACGAGUACGGGUGCCUGAGAAACCACAACGCCUUGUUUGAUAGGCACAACUCUUUCCUCAAGAACGGGCUCAGAAAGCUUCAAAAGAAGCAUCAACACACAAGGAUCAUGCAUGCCGACCUCGCGAGCCAGAUCUACCAAAUGGUACAGGAUCCCAAAAAGUUUGGCUUUGUGAUUGGGACCAUACUUAUGGGAUGUUGCGGAAAGGCCAAUGCGCCAAAUGGAUUUGAUCUGCUCGCAAUGUGUGGGAUGGAUGGCUCCAGCGUCUGCCAUGACCCGGGGAGCCACCUAACCUGGGACGGUAUGCACCUUAGCGACGCUGCCAACAAACAUAUCGCCGAGGGUUGGCUAAGUGGCACGUACUGCCGCCCACCGAUU
RNAcentral lists this ribosomal RNA (774 nucleotides) under Triticum aestivum (bread wheat). RNAcentral's name for it is "partial small subunit ribosomal RNA". Lineage: Eukaryota; Viridiplantae; Streptophyta; Magnoliopsida; Poales; Poaceae. The record is from RNAcentral.